This 1661-nucleotide long non-coding RNA is filed under the name Chrysemys picta bellii (western painted turtle). RNAcentral's name for it is "lncRNA (ENSCPBG00000001444.1)". The record is from RNAcentral. Lineage: Eukaryota; Metazoa; Chordata; Testudines; Emydidae.
GGCUCCUCAGGCACUGCACGAAAGCCGCCUCAGGCUGCGGCGGCGGCGCGAAGCUCCGGUGCCGAGGCUUCAGGCUUUCAGUUGCCUGCCUCGUUUAUGGCACCGUUCGGCACCGAGACGAACACGGUGCCGACAUUUCCAGCCUUGCCUGAUCCUGUGCGGGCUGAUGUUGUCCCCCCGGCACCUACCACGGCACCGGCAACCGCGGCACAGGCUGACAGGGAGAUCAAAGGAAAAACCCCUGCUCAGAGGAAUGUUCCCUCAGGGCAACUUCCUCCUCCACAGUUUUCACCUCAUGCAGGAGCCUCACCUUUUCAAUUCACUCAGACAGCAGAUCUAUUGGUCUCACCUAUUCUGCAGUCUCCCCUGAUAAAUGCCUGUUUUUCUCCAAUGCUUGACUCAGGAUCAGAACAACUUUCCUCCAGUGAGGAGGAAACUGAUCCACAGGCAGUUUUUUCUCCUUAUCAAGAUUCCCAGACCCCGAUCAACAGGGGUUACAAAAAAACUACCUCAGCCUGUUCUCAGGAUCCUGCCCCAUGGGGAGUGAACCCUUGGAUGGCACCACCUAUGCCCUACCCACCACCAUGCCAAUGUUGGGCACCAUGGGCAUCGUACCCCCGAGAACACAUGCGCUACGGCACUUCGACCAGGCGCAACACCGGUUUAGCACCGCCACGUGACGGACCUGCCAGUGACAUAAGAUACCAGGCAGCACCGUCACACUCCCAGGAGCAACUGAGUCCUGCUCCUAUUCCAGCAGAGCCCGACGUAACGCCUGAGGAAGCCUUACGCCCCCUUCCUCCAACACCGUUUGAUGACUAUGCCAAAUUCCAAGACCUCUUUAAAAGAGCUGCCGGUGACUUGAAAAUUAACUUGGAAGAAGUCACUGAACAACAGCAUGAACUAACAGACAUUUUGCAGCCCUUUUCUUCCUCUAGAGUGGCAUUACCAAUCAACAUAGCCCUUUUAGAACCCGCUAAAUCCAUCUGGCAGAAUCCAGCCACUAGCCUACCUACCUGUAAACAAGCGGACAGGAAGUACUUCAUUCCUUCAAAGGGCUCUGAAUUCCUUUUUACCCAUCCGGCGCCAAACUCAUUGGUAGUGGAUGCAGCAAACCAGAGGGCCAAACAACAGUACACCCGCUCCACCCCAGCCAACAAGGACAGUAAACGCCUGGACCUCUUCGGCUGUAAAGUAUAUGCAUCCUCGACGCUACAAUUUCGCAUAGCUAAUUAUACCGCAGUCCUUGCAAAAUAUGACCACAAAAACUAUAAUAAAUUCAUGGAUUUUAUUGAUCACAUCCCAGAGCAGAAGAAACAACAAUUCACAGCUCUGGUUUCCGAGGGACAAACCAUAUCACGCACCGCUCUCCAAGCGGCCCUCGAUGUAGCUAACACUGCAGCAAGGUCGACCGCCACAGCAGUGGUCAUGCAAUGGGGUUCAUGGCUCUCUUCCUCCUUCUUCCCUCGAGAGGUCCAGAGCACCAUUGAAGAUCUUCCCUUCAACGGGGAAAAACUUUUUGCCUCCACCACAAACGACAUGCUUCAUUCGAUGAAGGACGCAAGAGCAACCCUCCGGUCCCUAGGCCUCCAGCCACCUGCGACCAGAAGACGACAAUAUAGAUAUCAACCUUAUCACUGCCCACACUACCCUGCAUUUAC